AGAUCGAACCUUGUUGUGUUCGACGACUCUGUGUCUCUGUCUUUUUUUUCUUGUUUUUUUUUUUUUAUUUUCUCCGAAGACAUGCGGAAGGGAAGAGGAGGGGCCGCGUCGGUCGUCACGGCGGCGGCUGCGGCCGCCAACGGAUCCUUUUUAAAGGAGCCUCGGUACCGGGGCGUCAGAAAGAGACCGUGGGGGAGGUUCGCGGCGGAGAUCAGAGACCCGUUGAAGAAAGCCAGGGUUUGGUUGGGAACCUUCGAUUCUGCCGAGGAAGCUGCUCGAGCCUACGACGCCGCCGCUCGGUCUCUCCGAGGUCCCAAGGCCAAAACAAAUUUUCCUCUCACACACCCUUUUUGCUAUCCGCACCCCACCACCAAUCCUCUCUUCUACGCCGGUUUCCACGACAACAACCACCACAACGGCAGCCUUAACAACCCUCAGAGACCCACCUCGAGCGGGAUGAGCAGCACCGUUGAGUCCUUCAGCGGACCGCGCCCUCCCGCCGCCGCCGCCGCCAC
RNAcentral lists this long non-coding RNA (515 nucleotides) under Phaseolus vulgaris (common bean). Its description in RNAcentral is "long non-coding RNA (PVUL_LNC001917)". The record is from RNAcentral. Lineage: Eukaryota; Viridiplantae; Streptophyta; Magnoliopsida; Fabales; Fabaceae.